RNAcentral lists this non-coding RNA (36 nucleotides) under Trypanosoma brucei brucei. The record is from RNAcentral. Lineage: Eukaryota; Euglenozoa; Kinetoplastea; Trypanosomatida; Trypanosomatidae.
UGUAUAAGGGGAGAAAAUUCCCCAGUAAAUGAUUGU